Molecule: small nucleolar RNA, 98 nt
Filed under: Meriones unguiculatus (Mongolian gerbil)
Lineage: Eukaryota; Metazoa; Chordata; Mammalia; Rodentia; Muridae
Description: Small nucleolar RNA SNORA17 (ENSMUGG00000010388.1)
Rfam family: Small nucleolar RNA SNORA17
About the family: snoRNA ACA 17 belongs to the H/ACA family of snoRNAs and is predicted to guide pseudouridylation of the 28S rRNA at positions U4659 and U4598. It shares the same host gene together with ACA43. NB This family has a high threshold value to exclude a large number of closely related sequences that do not appear to have conserved H and ACA boxes, and may be pseudogenes.
Source: RNAcentral
GAUACCCCUAGAAGCAUUGCAGGUCUGGCUGCUGUGUCACAGGUGCACCUGUAGGUGGCAGAGAGAAGAGAGGCUGUGUCUAUGCUCAGCCUGACAUC